This 852-nucleotide long non-coding RNA is filed under the name Malus domestica (apple). RNAcentral describes it as "long non-coding RNA (MDOM_LNC000305)". The record is from RNAcentral. Lineage: Eukaryota; Viridiplantae; Streptophyta; Magnoliopsida; Rosales; Rosaceae.
GGGUGUGUCAUACAAACCAUCACUUUCACCCUUUUCCUCACCCACCAAAAUCAACUUGCAAAAACUUUUUAGAAAAUUUUUCAUAACUUCUUCCAUUGGCCGGCCACCCCAAGUGGGGUUACUUUUGGGGCCUUUUGUGCAAUUACAUAAAGUUUGAGAUACUUUUGUGUGUUUGCAUUUUGGCCCAAAAGUUUACGUUUUACGUUAAGGCCCAAAAACUCUAAAGGACAAAUUGUUUUGAUCCUUUAAUGAUGCUUUUACAUUAUUAAAAUUUUGGGAUCUAGUUGUAAUUACAUGAAGUUGUGGACUAUUGUGUUUUUACAAAGUGACCCCAAAAGUUUUUGUAUUUGCAUUAUGGCCAAAUUGUUGUGGUCAUAGUUUCCUUUUGGCCCAAAUAAAAUGAGAACAAAAUGGUUUUGUCUCUUUAAUGAGAAUUGGAUUUUCAUUUCAUUAAGUUCCAUUUAAAUCAAUUCUAUGGAUCCAAAAACCAAUUGUUUAAAGUUGUUUUCUUAGUUAAUGUGAUUGAUUAAGAAAAGGGUGAUUAUGAACCAAUGGCCACGAUAAUUGAGCUAUGUGAUUGGCCGAUUUACAUUAUGAAUGUUUGGGUUUUAGUAGUGUAGAUUUGAAUGUAAUUUGAUUAAUUCAAUUUGUUGUAAAUGGGCAUAAGUCCAUCAUUUGAUUUGUGUUGUAAAAGGGCAUAAGCCCUUCUUAUUAUUUCAUGUAUUCCUUUUGUUUAUAUGUAUGCAAAAUGGAAUAGUUGGGUCCAACGCCCAAUAGGAAAUAACGAUUUAAUUGGAUUAAACGCGUAACUAAAAUCAACAACUAUCUACCUUAAACCCAAGGUCCAACACA